This 214-nucleotide long non-coding RNA is filed under the name Populus trichocarpa (black cottonwood). Its description in RNAcentral is "long non-coding RNA (PTRI_LNC003302)". The record is from RNAcentral. Lineage: Eukaryota; Viridiplantae; Streptophyta; Magnoliopsida; Malpighiales; Salicaceae.
AAUAGUUUAGGCCGUCAGAGCUCGGUCGAGGUGGAGAUGUUUUAUUGAAGGUGCACACUGCUGAGUCCUUAAUCAUGUCCACAGACCUCGACCUUCCAACCAACAGUUCCUCAAAGAGCGUCUAAAUCGGGCCUCGGAUCCAGUUAAAUCCUUAAUUUACUUUAACAUGGCUUCGAGGUUUUACAAAUAUGAAAGAGAUACAAAAUUGGGCCCG